This 72-nucleotide transfer RNA is filed under the name Osteochilus salsburyi. Its description in RNAcentral is "tRNA-Asp". It matches the Rfam family "tRNA". From Rfam's summary of the family: Transfer RNA (tRNA) molecules are approximately 80 nucleotides in length. Their secondary structure includes four short double-helical elements and three loops (D, anti-codon, and T loops). The record is from RNAcentral. Lineage: Eukaryota; Metazoa; Chordata; Actinopteri; Cypriniformes; Cyprinidae.
AAGAUAUUAGUAAAAUACACAUUAUAUCACCUUGUCAAGAUGAAGUCACAGGUUAGACCCCUGUAUAUCUUA